RNA transcript from Micropterus salmoides (largemouth bass), 1862 nucleotides. It is a transcript of the gene named arginine/serine-rich protein 1, with no coding region annotated. The record is from RefSeq and is a predicted model, not a curated record. NCBI's taxonomy places the organism in Eukaryota, Metazoa, Chordata, Actinopteri, Centrarchiformes, Centrarchidae. The transcript has 4 exons.
CCUCUCCUUCAUUCGAGUGACGACGGCACGAGCUACAACUUCGAAGCGAAGAGAGCAACAUAUUUAUGAUUUACAAGUUAAUGUCUGGUGAUCUGUUUUAGAGGACGACUUUCUCGACAUACAUCGUUUAUUUCGACGUUAUCAGAACAAAGGAUUCAAUUCGACCUGCCUGUGCCAGAAAGCAAGACAAUGGCCAAGGGAAAAGACACUCUCUCUGACAUGGCCCAAGCUCGUCAGAGUGACGGCAUCCAUGUCAUCUUUGACCAGGACAGCCCUGCGUCUUCUCGCUCCAGAUCCAAGAGCAGCGGCCGCUCCUCCGUCUCUGACCGCUACAGGGGACGUGACAGCCACAGGGGACGUUAUAGGUCUCCAUCUUCCUCAACAUCAUCUUCAUCCAGCAGCAGGUCCUCCUCUCGCUCCAGGUCCCGCUCUCACCCUCGUUGCCACAGACGCUCAUCCCGCUGUCGCUGUGACGACCAUCACAGAUAUGGCCGUGGCCGUUACCGCCACUCCCCAGCACGCCACCGCAGGGCCCAGUCUCGCUCCUACAGCCGUUCACCCUCAUCAGACAGGUACUCGCGCCACAGACGUUACAGGUCCCGUUCCAGGUCUUCCAGCCCUUGGUACAGGUAUAGGACAGCAGCGAGGCGGUUUACCCGAUCCCCACCCAGAACCUACAGGAGCCGCUCAAGGUCCAGAUCUUCAGGUCGAUCUGUCAGUUUGAGUUUGGAUGAUAAAAGAGAACUCCUCAAAGCUGCAAAGGCCAAUGCUAUGAAGAUCCUAGGAGUGGAGAAGCUGGAACUUCCUGAGAGUGUGAAACCACUCCUGUCAGAGCAGCUGGAGUCCAAAUGGGUGGCACCGCCAGAGGUGAGGGUGAGGCAAGACCCUGAAAGGACUUUGUCACAGGUGGGUCUUUUGAGAGUGAAUGUCAGUUUCACAAGGAACACAUCACACACUACAGAUCAGGCUUGGUUGUAGAUCCUAAGUAGUGUGGGUUUUUUUUUUCCCCUCCCCUUCCUUCUAUCAUGGACUACAUGUAAAUUAGAGGGUGUUGGGAAUGUUGGAUAGCUAGUCACUUAUCAUACCACACAAAAAAUGCACUGAUCAUUAAUGCCAUUAAUCUUUACCUCAUGGGUAAUGGACUCAGUAUUGUAUACAGUGUUGUGUUGAAUUUCCUGUCUUGUGUUAACCUUUGGACCCCUGAGGGAACACACAUACUCUCUGUAUUUAUUCCUGUCUUCAUAGAUUACAUGACAGUGGUCUCCUUCACUCAUCGGCACCUGGGAUUAAAGGGCUGUCAUGUGACUUGGGUGACGACAAUGUGUUUGUGUGAAAGUUGAAAUGGGUCGUUAUUUAGCAGAAUCCUCCACUUGCUGAUGGAGCGCAGGCGUGUGGACUGCAUUAUAGUGACUAUUCCUCUCAAGAGCUAAAAACAGAUGAAGAACACCUCUCCGUAUGUCAAAGAUAAGUUGGUACAUGAGCCGUGUGCUGAGGGGCUGGGAAACCUACGUCGCCAUCAUUCUGCCACUGUAGACAAACAUCCUUUUUACUUUGAUAUACCUUUUUGCUUUUAUUGUAAAGGUCUGUCCUUGAUGCAUUCAUUUAAUUGUUGAGCCUAGCCUUUUGGGGGGAGGGUGCAUGAGAGCUACAGUUUGUUGAAGCUAACACUUAAAAAAUAAUCUAAGCGAUAGAAGUGCUAUACUAGUAAUGGAAGCUAUAAUCUACAUAUGAACUUCACAAACUGUCAAAGCUCACUUGACAAUCAGUUUUACACAGCCGAAACUAACUACCUGUUUCUUUUUCUUUUUACAGAGCAGUGAUGUGGAGCCUGAUAUGUCCAGCCCAACGAUGUCCCCAAAAAA